This is a non-coding RNA of Ciona intestinalis (vase tunicate), 486 nucleotides long. Lineage: Eukaryota; Metazoa; Chordata; Ascidiacea; Phlebobranchia; Cionidae. The record is from RefSeq and is a predicted model, not a curated record.
CAAGUCCAUGGCAAAUUUUAAUGCUACGGGGUUUUAAAACGCAAUAUUGCUGGAUUUAUUGACACUGAGGGCGCUAGACACUUAAUUAUAUUUCGCGCCUUUGGUUUCCAUAACGACCAACACAGCUUUUUGUAAAGUUAACCAGUUAACAAACUUCAUAAAUUGAUAGAAAAAGCAGUUUUUUCAACACACAUGGCCAAGUUCGUAAUCGCAGGAUCAUGUAGUUGCCCUUAUUAUGCCAAGUUGGAACUUCUCGCUGACCAACUGGUUAGCAAUCUUGAACAGUUUAAGGUGGGAUAUGUUGUGUGUCUUGGUGAUGAUUUAUUUGGUGACCAUAGUGGAUUUUUUGCUUUAAAAGACAAUUGAGGUCUAAGAAAUGUAUUAAGACCAAAAAUAUUAUUGGUCACCAGCCAUAGGCGUAAAGUUUUACUAAACGUUAGGGUUGCAAAAACCAGAAAGAAAGGAAGUCCUCGCGCCGGUAGGCGC